AGAUGAGUAUUCUAAGGCGCUUGAGAGAACUCGGGAGAAGGAACUCGGCAAAUUGGUACCGUAACUUCGGGAUAAGGUACGCCCUUGUAGCUUAACUAUGAACAAUAGAAGGGCGAAAGGGUUGCAAAAAAAUGGUGGCUGCGACUGUUUAAUAAAAACACAGCACUCUGCAAACACGAAAGUGGACGUAUAGGGUGUGACGCCUGCCCGGUGCUGGAAGAUUAAAUGAUGGGGUGCAAGCUCUUGAUUGAAGUCCCAGUAAACGGCGGCCGUAACUAUAACGGUCCUAAGGUAGCGAAAUUCCUUGUCGGGUAAGUUCCGACCUGCACGAAUGGCGUAAUGAUGGCCACACUGUCUCCUCCCGAGACUCAGCGAAGUUGAAGUGUUUGUGAUGAUGCAAUCUACCCGCGGCUAGACGGAAAGACCCCAUGAACCUUUACUGUAGCUUUGCAUUGGACUUUGAACCAAUCUGUGUAGGAUAGGUGGGAGGCUUUGAAGCGGGGACGCCAGUUCUCGUGGAGCCAACCUUGAAAUACCACCCUGGUGUCGUUGAGGUUCUAACCUUGGUCCGUGAAUCCGGAUCGGGGACCGUGCAUGGUAGGCAGUUUGACUGGGGCGGUCUCCUCCCAAAGUGUAACGGAGGAGUUCGAAGGUACGCUAGGUACGGUCGGACAUCGUGCUAAUAGUGCAAUGGCAUAAGCGUGCUUAACUGCGAGACUGACAAGUCGAGCAGGUGCGAAAGCAGGACAUAGUGAUCCGGUGGUUCUGUAUGGAAGGGCCAUCGCUCAACGGAUAAAAGGUACUCUGGGGAUAACAGGCUGAUUCCGCCCAAGAGUUCACAUCGACGGCGGAGUUUGGCACCUCGAUGUCGGCUCAUCACAUCCUGGGGCUGUAGCCGGUCCCAAGGGUAUGGCUGUUCGCCAUUUAAAGUGGUACGUGAGCUGGGUUUAAAACGUCGUGAGACAGUUUGGUCCCUAUCUGCCGUGGGCGUUGGAAGUUUGAGGGGGCCUGCUCCUAGUACGAGAGGACCGGAGUGGACAGACCUCUGGUGUACCGGUUGUGAUGCCAAUUGCAUUGCCGGGUAGCUAAGUCUGGAAGAGAUAACCGCUGAAAGCAUCUAAGCGGGAAACUUGCCUUGAGAUGAGAUUUCCCAGAGCCUUGAGCUCUUUAAAGGGUCGUUCGAGACCAGGACGUUGAUAGGUCAGGUGUGGAAGUGCAGUAAUGCAUUAAGCUAACUGAUACUAAUUGCCCGUACGGCUUGUCCCU
Molecule: ribosomal RNA, 1266 nt
Filed under: wastewater metagenome
Description: bacterial LSU rRNA
Rfam family: Bacterial large subunit ribosomal RNA
Source: RNAcentral